Long non-coding RNA from Oncorhynchus tshawytscha (Chinook salmon), 5744 nucleotides. Lineage: Eukaryota; Metazoa; Chordata; Actinopteri; Salmoniformes; Salmonidae. The record is from Ensembl.
UAAAAAACGAGAACACGCCAGUUAUGUACAAGUGACAAGAUUAUCCUGACUUUCGCUAGCUACUUUCUUUUAUUGUUUUGUAGAAUCUAAAGUGGUAAAAUGUAAUGUGAACAAGUAUUAUUACUAAAAAGAAGCUUUCAUCUCACAACCGAAGGCCCGAGUCAUUACUUUGAAGGUAGUUAUUCUAUAGUUAUCAACUUCAAGGUGGAUGUUGUUGCUAAUAACGAGGUAAAGACAGUUUCAAGUUGGAUAUUCGCGCUUUCAAACCACUUGAGCCACAGACACCAAAUAAUGGUCAUGCUGUUGGAAAAAUUGCGCACCAAUUUGCACAGGUCUUAUUUUCACGAUUUGGACAUUCAUUCACUUUCCAACGCUAAUAAACGUGGAAAUGUGAGCAGCAUUUUGUAUUCUUAGUUGAAUUAGUUAGGGAGCGUAAACAAAGUACAAACCUUUUUUUACAUUAGAAUUUCAAUAGCUCCUUGGUCAUGUGACCUACUUGAUUCAAAUAAGGUUCAGAAUGUCCACUGACUACCCUUCUAUAUUGCACACCCUUUAGGUUGUCAAUUUUCAUCUCACAAAAUUUUACAUUCAUUUUCCAAAAUGUAAAAUGUCAAUAGCUCCUUGGUCAUGUGACUUAAUGACUUCAAACAAGGUUCAGAAUGUCCACUGACUACCCUCCUAUAUUGCACACCCUAUAGUUUGUCCAUUUUCAUCUCACAUGGUUUUACAUUUUUUUAAAAUCAAUGUAUAAUUUCAAUAGCUCCUUGGUCAUGUGACCUACGGACUUCUAACAAGGUUCAGAAUGUCCAAUCUGUGGGCCUACACAUUGCACAUCCUUUAGUUUGUCCAUUUUCAUCUCACAAGAUUUUACAUUAAUAUUUCAAAAUGUAGAAUUUCAAUAGCUCCUUGGUCAUGUGACCUACUGACCUCAAACAAGGUUCAGAAUGUGUACUGACUAUACCUUUUAUAUUGCACAUUCUGAUGUUUGUCUACUUUCAUCUCAUGCUAUUAGACUGAAAUCUGCCAGCUUUGCAGGCCUUCAUUUUACAUGCGUGUAAAAAAACAAACAUUUUUUUAAGUUAACAAAUGUUCCAUACUCGCAAUAACUAUCUUUCACAUGGACACUGUAAAGAUCCGCAAAUGGCUGUAUGUGGUAUGGAUCAAGGACAAGAGAGGUGUUUGAACAGAGGUGCUUAAAGGAAGGCGCACAGGUAGGCCUCAUGAAAAACAAUGUUUCAUAUGCGCUUUUUAAUCACAGUAAUAGGUAGUGGUUUGUCAGUCAGAGUGAGCUUGAUAACGUGAAAUAAUCUUUUUCAUAGCAUCACUUUCAUAUACUGUACAUUAAGACAAAUCCUUCUACGUUGAGUAUUAGAACGCAGUUUACAUAACCUGAUAAUGAUUUGAUAUUUCAGUGCAUUCAAAACAAGCCACGUGCAGACAACUUACAAAAUGCAAUAGUGCAUUUGAGGGUUAAUUUGUCUGAUGAAAAUAGUUAUUUGAUGCAUGGCCUACUAUUUCUAACUGGAAAAAUAAAUUCCUAUGUCUUUUCUGAGUAAAAUCCUUUUUCCAAAAUUGAUUUAGGCACAUUUUUGUGAAGAGGUAUGAGGAUUGUGAUAUGGGUCAUUUAAUAGUAAAAUCAUUUAAGGGAUCAAUACAUUUCAAUAUUGCUUCCCCAGUACCUGCAUGAACCAUCAGGCCAAGUGUUUUUGGUUGACCCUGCUGGACAGAAAGAGAAGGAGGAAUCGGAACACGCUGCAUUCAAAUUCAGGUGUUAGUUAUUCCAUUGUACUGGAUCUAAUACAUAUUAGCAUUUUACAUACAUUCAUAAGUGUAAUACGUUUUUAUGACAUACUGUGAAAAACUCUUUUGGCUGCUGGCUCUGUCACUUUAAGACAUGCGCAGAGCAGACUGAAAGGGGAAGGGUAGCUCUUGACUUGAACCACAGGUGUUCUCUGUAUAGAGAGAGUAAUCCAAAAGGCACCGACACACCCCUUGACUUUCAAUUGGCACCGUUGACCUGUAUGUAUUCUCUCCUGAUUGGCUCUGUGGUGCACAGUCUGGCAGUCUGACAAAAGUACCAGAGGUAUGAGGAGAGACAUCCUCCUUUUGUAUUUAUGUGAAAAAAUAUUUCCUAACUCUUUGGAUCCUGUUCUUGGACAGUUAGAAGACCCAAUGCAUCAAUGCAAAAAAAUAAUGAUUACUAAUUACUGUCCAUGAAUAACCUCAACCUUGUGGGUCUGUGGGUAUUUGGGCCAAUAAAGUGCAAACUCAAUUCUACCACUGACUAGUCUCUCAUGCCCCUAUGAAAAGGGACACAGGACAAUAGUUUUUAAUCUAAACCAGACCUUUUUUACUGGAGUACACUAACCCCUAAUUGGGGCUCUUUUCUUGACACACAGUAGCAGUUUACCAAAUAAGAAGUCAAAAAGAUCAAAAAGUAGAUCGUUGUAAGGGUGUAAUACAUCCUGUGCUGGUCACAUUGUCAUAUCCAUUCUGGAUUCUGGGUGGUAAAAUCAUAGCUGAAAAAUGCCUCUGUGUGUGUAUACAUUUUCCCCCAAGACAGAACUGCCAAAGGGGGUGGAGUUGCAAUCUACUGCAGAGUUCUGUCAUGCUAUCCAGGUCUGUGCCCUACUUUUAAAAAUCCACCUUUCCAGAAAUAAGUCUCUCACUGUUGCCGCUUGUUACAGACCCCCCUCAGCCCACAGCUGCGCCCUGGACACCAUAUGUGAAUGAAUUGCCCCCCAUUUAUCUUCAGAGUUUGUACUGUUAGGUGACCUAAACUGGGAUAUGCUUAACACCCCGGCCAUCCUACAAUCUAAGCUAGAUGCCCUCAAUCUCACCCAAAUUAUCAUGGAACCUACCAGGUACAACCCCAAAUCUGUACACUUGGGCACCCUCAUAGAUAUCAUCCUGACCAACCUGUCCUCUAAAUACACCUCUGCUGUUUUCAAAAUACAAAAAAAAUACACCUCUGCUGUCUUCCAGGAUCUCAUUGAUCACUGCCUCAUUGCCUGCGUCCCUAAUGGGUCCGCGGUCAAACGACCACCCCUCAUCGUCGUCAAACGGUCCCUAAAACACCAGCGAGCAGGCCUUUCUAACCGACCUGGCCUGGGUAUCCUGGAAAGAUAUUGACCUCAUUCUGUCAGUAGAGGAUGCCUGGUUAUUCUUUAAAAUUGCUUUCCUCACCAUCUUAAAUAAGCAUGCCCCAUUCAAACAAAUGUAGAACAAGGAACAGAUAUAGCCCUUAGUUCACUCCAGACCUGACUGCCCUUGACCAGCACAAAAACAUCCUGUGGCGUACCGCAUUAGCAUUGAAUAGCCACCGCUAUUCGAUGCUAGGGAUGUUAGGAACUUAUCAUCAGACUCAACAGCCUUUGUUUCUCAAAUGACUGCCUCGCCUGGUUCACCAACUACUUCUCAGAUAGAGUUCAGUAUGUCAAAUCGGAGGGCCUGUUGUCCGGACCUCUGGCAGACUCUAUGGGGGUGCCACAGGGUUCAAUUCUCGGGUCGACUCUUUUCUCUGUAUACAUAAAUGAUGUUCCUCUUGCGGCUGGUGAUUCUCUGAUCCACUUCUACGCAGACGACACCAUUCUGUAUACUUCUGGCCCUACUUUGGACACUGUGUUAACUAACCAUACAAUUCUCCUUCUGUGGCCUCCAACUGCUCUAAAAAUGCAAGUAAAACUAAAUGCAUACUCUUCAUCUGAUCGCUGCCCGCACCUGCCCGCCCGCCUAGCAUCACUACUCUGGACGGUUCUGACUUAGAAUAUGUGGACAACUACAAAUACCUAGGUGUCUGGUUAGACUGUAAACUCUCCUUCCAGACUCAUAUUAAAGCAUCUCCAAUCCAAAAUCAAAUCUAGAAUCGUUGCCAAACAUACCCUCGUAAAACUGAUUAUCCUACUGAUCCUUGACUUCGGCGAUGUCAUUUACAAAAUAGCCUCCAACACUCUAAUCAGCAAAUUGGACGCAGUCUAUCACAGUGCCAUCUGUUUCGUCACCAAAGCCCUAUAUACCACCCACCACUGCAACCUGUAUGCUCUCGUUGGCUGGCCCUCGCUUCAUAUUUUUUGCCCAACCCACUGGCUCCAGGUCAUCUAUAAGUCUUUGCUAAGUAAAGCCCCGCCUUAUCUCAGUUCACUGGUCACCAUAGCAGCACUCACCCGUAGCACUCGCUCCUGCAGGUAUAUUUCACUGGUCACCCCCAAAACCAAUUCCUCAUUUGGCCGCGUUUCCUUACAGUUCUCUGCUGCCAAUGACUGGAACGAAUUGCAAAAAUCUUACUUCAUUUGCAAACACUGUAUAUAGACUUUUCUAUUGUGUUAUUGACUGUGCGUUUGUUUAUACCAUGUGUAACUCUGUUUUGUUGUUUGUGUCACACUGCUUUGCUUUAUCUUGGCCAGGUCGCAGUUGUAAAUGAGAGCUUGUUCUCAACUUGCUUACCUGGUUGAAUAAAGGUGAAAUAAAAAAACAAAAAAUACUGUGUGGGAAUGUCUUAUGUCCGUGUAGUGUUGGUACAUGGAAUAUUCCUCAACUGCAUAUAUCAUAAAUUGCUAUUGCAAAUAGAAGUAUUAUGUUCAACAACUGACAUUUUCAGAUAUUAUUUUGACAAACACACUUGUGCUUACAAUUCAUUCUCUAUUGUCAUAGACUUGAUGGGCACUGUCAUCUGUGAUCUUUGUGAGGACUUUCUUUAGGCACGUACUGAUGAAACUGUCACUUAAUAUUUUUUUCUUAAAGUCCACAAACGCUCUACAUUUAUUCACUCUGUGAUAGGGUUGGAUCCUAUAUGCUACUUUUAUUAUUGUCCUGUAAAUGGUUCAGUGCCUAUAAUUUAAGCUGUGUGUGUAGAAUGGGACAUAAAGGAAAUGACCUCUGCUACUAAAUUACUACUAGAUUAUAGUGAUAAGGAAAACAGCAUACACAUUUGGCUUGUGUAUUCAUUUGCCUAUAACUAAUCAGAAUUCCAUUAUGUUUACAUAAAAAAGAGAGAACUUCAAAAUGAGAUCCUGCCAUGGAAAAGACGACGGACAUGAAGUGGAAAGGAGGGGAAAUAACUCACACCAUGCAGCAGGACACCUUCAGCUGUGUGGUUUUUGUAAUGCAGGUUUGAUAGUUAUAUUUUCAAUAAUGAUUGGUUAGCUGUUAUGUGACAAGUAGAUCAAAAAAUAUUUUAUUUUUUGGUGUAGAUGGCCAAGGAAGUUGCACAGAACUUCCCCAACAUCCCCUCCCAAAUUGAUAUGGAACCUUCAAAAACACAUGGAGCAAGUGCGAAAAUAAAUGGCUGAGGAUAUACUAAAAAUGUCUGGUUUGUAAUGACAUUUAAUUCAAAGUAAAUGUAAAUUCUUUAUUUUUAUGUAGUUGUGUCGGACAGUCAUUUGUUCAGUUCAUGCCUAUGAUUUCAGAGUUCAACAAAGCCAACAACUGCUUCAUGUGUGCCACUGAUAAAGAACCUGGAUGUAGCACAAAGACUGCCUGGAUUGAAUGUUUUGCAGGCCAAAGGUGGUUCCAUGUGCUGUAACUAGGAAUGAAGACAAAAUAGUUAAACAGAGCAAACAACACAAACUGGAAGUGCUGUCUUUGUUGUUGAAAAUGUAUGCUAUACCCCAUCCACACUGAAGAGGCUCUGACAUGUACAUCAACCAGGGAUAAAGAGAAAGUUAACACUGUGAAAUGUUUCAUACUUAUUUUUAAUUGUAUGUUGACACGUUGGAAAAGAUUAAAGGUGUACAAUUUCUGUUUAA